UUUGGUGACGAUAGCGAAGUGGAUACACCUGUUCCCAUCCCGAACACAGAAGUUAAGCACUUUAGCGCCGACGAUAGUGCUCUGCGCGAAAAUAGGUCGUCGCCAAGC
RNAcentral lists this ribosomal RNA (108 nucleotides) under Mycoplasmatota bacterium. Lineage: Bacteria; Bacillati; Mycoplasmatota. The record is from RNAcentral.